GUCCCUUUGGGGACUCCAAUAAAAUUUGAACGAUAUAGAGAAGAUUAGCAUGGGCCCUAUGCAAGGAUGACAUGCACAAAUUGAGAAAUAGUCCAACUUUUA
Small nuclear RNA from Carya illinoinensis, 102 nucleotides. The record is from RefSeq and is a predicted model, not a curated record. Lineage: Eukaryota; Viridiplantae; Streptophyta; Magnoliopsida; Fagales; Juglandaceae.